This 445-nucleotide ribosomal RNA is filed under the name uncultured bacterium. RNAcentral describes it as "bacterial SSU rRNA". It matches the Rfam family "Bacterial small subunit ribosomal RNA", at positions 29 to 507 of the family's 1533-position model. The record is from RNAcentral.
AGCGAACGCUGGCGGCAGGCUUAACACAUGCAAGUCGAAGGUGAAGCCGGACUUCGGUCCGGUGGAAACUGGCGCACGGGUGAGUAACACGUGGGAACCUGCCCCGAGGUACGGAAUAACCGCUGGAAACGGCGGCUAAUACCGUAUGUGCCCUACGGGGGAAAGAUUUAUCGCCUUGGGAUGGUCCCGCGUCCGAUUAGCUUGUUGGUGAGGUAACGGCUCACCAAGGCUGCGAUCGGUAGCUGGUCUGAGAGGACGAUCAGCCACACUGGGACUGAGACACGGCCCAGACUCCUACGGGAGGCAGCAGUGAGGAAUAUUGGACAAUGGGGGCAACCCUGAUCCAGCCAUGCCGCGUGAGUGAAGAAGGCCCUAGGGUUGUAAAGCUCUUUCAGCGGGGAAGAUGAUGACGGUACCCGCAGAAGAAGCCCCGGCUAACUUCGUG